GGAGUUGUGGCUCAGUGGGAGAGUACUUUCCUAGUAUGACUGAGGUACUGGGUUCUAUUCUCAGCACCA
Molecule: transfer RNA, 69 nt
Filed under: Marmota monax (woodchuck)
Lineage: Eukaryota; Metazoa; Chordata; Mammalia; Rodentia; Sciuridae
Description: tRNA.Thr
Source: RNAcentral